RNAcentral lists this ribosomal RNA (113 nucleotides) under Rubrivivax sp. Lineage: Bacteria; Pseudomonadati; Pseudomonadota; Betaproteobacteria; Burkholderiales; Sphaerotilaceae. RNAcentral also lists the same sequence under 4 other names. The record is from RNAcentral.
CCUGAUGACCAUAGCGAGGUGGCCCCACUCCUUCCCAUCCCGAACAGGACAGUGAAACGCCUCUGCGCCGAUGAUAGUGCGGAUUCCCGUGUGAAAGUAGGACAUCGUCAGGC